AAAAAUGUUUUUAAAAGAACCUUUAGUCUGCAAGCCCCACCCCUGCUCCCUAUGCAUUUCCACAUGUCCUUUUUGGGUCAGACCAAUGGAAAAACUCUUUGCUAAAUUCCAAACUUUGCCUCUUCUCCUCAAAAUCAAAUAAAAGGAACCCCUGUACCUAAUCACUCCGAAAAGGGCAAGUUUUGCCUCUUUCCCAGGCCUAGGACACUCAUGUUCUACUUCAAAAUUGUUAGGUCAGAGGCCUGGGCAGCUCAGAUGUGGGGGUUGGACGCCAUGACACAGUCGGCUGACGCAACCCAGAUCUAGUCUGUCGUUAGACCUCCACUGCACCCGAAUCUAAGUCAGAUGUAGCACACGGGGCUCUACUCUGCACACAGCACCAGGCCUUACAUGGCACAGUAGCCUGCUCUCCCCCUAAACCUUUACCAUACAUGGACUGUUUCUACCUCUAAGACACUCCCCCUUCCCAAUACUCACAGAAAUCACUAAACCCUGUCCUAGGGCGCGACUUCUCUGGCCCACUUUCUCUUUCUCUUUCUCUGCCAGAGCAGUGAACCUUGCCUGGGAGUGCUCCCAAUAAAGGCUCUACGUUCUAUUUUCUCCCGUGAUCGGCCCAUUCCUUACAUUUGGCACUGAAACCCAGAAGGAGUUUUGAGUACCGCAGUCCCCGCGAGGGCCUCUCCUCCCCUGAACCAGGAACCAACCCACCUGUUGCCGACUAACCACUUGCCCUGACCUUCUAAGGAUGACAGAGAAUGAGUCCAGGCUGCAGCCUGAGAACAUGCCGACCAAGCCCACCUGCUCAACGCGACUUUACCAGUCAGACAAGUGGCUGUUCCUAUUACCAAACCUCCAUGGGACUAUCAGGUCCCUCUGAAGCCCAAUCCAAGAAGUUUCCUGUGUGGCUGUCAACUAAAUGCUCCUCCAUCCCUACACACAAGUUCCCACUGAGCCCCCAGCCCCCGACUUCCCCUCUACGCCCCAACUCACAGCAGGAAGUAGUUAAUGAUUGAACAGUGUCCUAUAACACCAAAACAGUCGUGAUGUUAGGUAGGAGGCCUGGGCAGCUUGGAUGUGGGGGUUGGACGCCAUGCCAGUCGGCUGUGCAACCCGGAUCUUAGCCUGUCAGCAGACCUGCGCUGCACCUGGAUUUAACCCGGAUGUAGCACACGGCACUCUACUCUGCACACGGGGCUCUACCUGCACACAGCACCAGACGUUACAUGGCACAGCAGUCUGCUCUCCCCCUAAACCUUUACGAUAGACUGUUUCUACCUGUAAGACACUCCCCCUCCCUAUGUCCUUAUAAAAAUCGCUAAGCCCUGCCCUAGGGAGUGACUUCUCUGGCCCCCUCUCUCUCUGUUGGACCAGAGAACCUCGCCCGGGAGUGCUUCCAAUAAAGGCUCUACAUUUCUCUUUUCUCACAUGGGCGGCCCAUUCCUUACAAAAAUAAACCACAUUAAUUAUUAGUUUUGCAGACUUGGCUACUUCCGUCAACAGAAACAACCCCAGGAGGGGACUGCGCGCGCGUAUGUGUGUGUGUCCGUGCACAUGUAUACACAUGCGUAUGCUUAUGUACCUCCCUUUAUAGAAACCAUGUUUCUGAAAUGAGAAUGAAAACAAAAUCUUACCUUCCCAACUGAGUUAGUUUAAUUGUACAGCCUCAACUUUUGUUAGUUUGGAUUAGUCUCCAAUACAGAACUCCUACUUUUAUUUAGCUCUCUGUUAUUCUUUUAUUAGUUAACAAAC
Molecule: long non-coding RNA, 1749 nt
Organism: Tupaia belangeri chinensis (Chinese tree shrew)
Lineage: Eukaryota; Metazoa; Chordata; Mammalia; Scandentia; Tupaiidae
Exons: 3
Source: RefSeq, a predicted model, not a curated record